RNAcentral lists this ribosomal RNA (483 nucleotides) under uncultured bacterium. RNAcentral's name for it is "partial 16S ribosomal RNA". It matches the Rfam family "Bacterial small subunit ribosomal RNA", at positions 28 to 507 of the family's 1533-position model. The record is from RNAcentral.
GACGAACGCUGGCGGCGUGCCUAACACAUGCAAGUCGAGCGGGGAUUUAAGUGGAAGUUCUUCGGAAUGGAGAUUUAAAUUCUAGCGGCGGACGGGUGAGUAACGCGUGAACAAUCUGUCCCGGACAGGGGGAUAACACUUGGAAACAGGUGCUAAUACCGCAUAAGACCACGGCCUCGCAUGGGGCUGAGGUAAAAGGAGCAAUCCGGUUCGUGGUGAGUUCGCGUCCGAUUAGCUAGUUGGUGAGGUAACGGCCCACCAAGGCGACGAUCGGUAGCCGGCCUGAGAGGGUGAACGGCCACAUUGGAACUGAGAGACGGUCCAAACUCCUACGGGAGGCAGCAGUGGGGAAUAUUGGGCAAUGGGCGAAAGCCUGACCCAGCAACGCCGCGUGAGGGAAGAAGGUUUUCGGAUUGUAAACCUCUGUCCUAUGGGACGAAGGAAGUGACGGUACCAUAGGAGGAAGCCCCGGCUAACUACGUG